GUGCCAGCAGCCGCGGUAAUACGGAGGAUCCAAGCGUUAUCCGGAUUUAUUGGGUUUAAAGGGUGCGUAGGUGGCUUUUUAAGUCAGGGGUGAAAGACGGUAGCUUAACUAUCGCAGUGCCUUUGAUACUGAAGAGCUUGAAUAAACUAGAGGUAGGCGGAAUGUGACAAGUAGCGGUGAAAUGCAUAGAUAUGUCACAGAACACCAAUUGCGAAGGCAGCUUACUAUGGUUUUAUUGACACUGAGGCACGAAAGCGUGGGGAUCAAACAGGAUUAGAUACCCGCGUAGUCC
RNAcentral lists this ribosomal RNA (292 nucleotides) under uncultured bacterium. RNAcentral's name for it is "partial 16S ribosomal RNA". It matches the Rfam family "Bacterial small subunit ribosomal RNA", at positions 505 to 796 of the family's 1533-position model. The record is from RNAcentral.